GAUGAAGAACGUAGCGAAAUGCGAUAAGUAGUGUGAAUUGCAGAAUUCAGUGAAUCAUCGAAUCUUUGAACGCACAUUGCGCCCCUUGGUAUCCCGAGGGGCAUGCCUGUUCGAGCGUCAUUUCACCACUCAAGCCUGGCUUGGUGUUGGGCGACGUCCUCUUUGGGGACGCGCCUCGAAACGCUCGGCGGCGUGGCACCGGCUUUAAGCGUAGCAGAAUCUUUCGCUUUGGAAGUCGGGGCCCCGUCUGCCGGAAGACCUGCUCGCAAGGUUGACCUCGGAUCAGGCAGGGAUACCCGCUGAACUUAAGCAUAUCAAUAAACGGAGGA
Molecule: unclassified non-coding RNA, 329 nt
Filed under: soil metagenome
Description: partial contains 5.8S ribosomal RNA, internal transcribed spacer 2, and large subunit ribosomal RNA
Rfam family: 5.8S ribosomal RNA (bases 1-120)
Source: RNAcentral